Long non-coding RNA from Xiphophorus hellerii (green swordtail), 619 nucleotides. RefSeq lists it as uncharacterized. The record is from RefSeq and is a predicted model, not a curated record. The transcript has 4 exons. Lineage: Eukaryota; Metazoa; Chordata; Actinopteri; Cyprinodontiformes; Poeciliidae.
UCAAAACAUACUGAAAGAAAAUGAUGUCAUAUUUUCAAUCUGAGUCACGUGAGAAGAAGUUUGGGAGAAGUGCUUGGAGAGCUUCGUCCGUUUCGGCAUCUGGAAGAAAGAAUGAUUAACGUCCCAGCACGUCAUCAAAGAAUAAACCUGCACUGCUGAAGAUCUUCAGAAAGAAAGGAGGGACCACUAAAGCAAGAACUGCCACGAUCCUUGAGUUUCUUGACCAGGGUGCUGAUGCAGAUUUCAGAAGGGAGUGUAUCCUCAAAGCUCUCAUCAUCUACCUGGGAGAACGUGUUGAGGACCUUAUAAAGGAAUACAUGGUCUCCCAGAAAGAUCAAGCCGAGCAGGAGCUGGAGAGGACCAUCAUGGCAGUCUUCGUCUUCAGAGAGAAUUCAAGCCUUCUACAGCAGCCCCAAGACGUUAGGAUUGUCAUUGAUGGUGUGGAAGUCCUCAAUGAGUUGCCUUCUCUUGCAGCCGGAGUGGCAAUGCUCUUUGGACUUUGCUAUGCUCUUAACAUGGAGUAUCCACAGGGUUUCAGGUUCACCUUUGAGGCCCUUCAGAAGAUCCUGAUGGAGCUUGGUUCCAACAAGAUGACUUCCAAGAUUCGCAAACUCAGUGG